This 506-nucleotide ribosomal RNA is filed under the name Lacticaseibacillus rhamnosus. RNAcentral describes it as "bacterial SSU rRNA". It matches the Rfam family "Bacterial small subunit ribosomal RNA", at positions 50 to 521 of the family's 1533-position model. The record is from RNAcentral. Lineage: Bacteria; Bacillati; Bacillota; Bacilli; Lactobacillales; Lactobacillaceae.
AAUACAUGCAAGUCGAACGAGUUCUGAUUAUUGAAAGGUGCUUGCAUCUUGAUUUAAUUUUGAACGAGUGGCGGACGGGUGAGUAACACGUGGGUAACCUGCCCUUAAGUGGGGGAUAACAUUUGGAAACAGAUGCUAAUACCGCAUAAAUCCAAGAACCGCAUGGUUCUUGGCUGAAAGAUGGCGUAAGCUAUCGCUUUUGGAUGGACCCGCGGCGUAUUAGCUAGUUGGUGAGGUAACGGCUCACCAAGGCAAUGAUACGUAGCCGAACUGAGAGGUUGAUCGGCCACAUUGGGACUGAGACACGGCCCAAACUCCUACGGGAGGCAGCAGUAGGGAAUCUUCCACAAUGGACGCAAGUCUGAUGGAGCAACGCCGCGUGAGUGAAGAAGGCUUUCGGGUCGUAAAACUCUGUUGUUGGAGAAGAAUGGUCGGCAGAGUAACUGUUGUCGGCGUGACGGUAUCCAACCAGAAAGCCACGGCUAACUACGUCCAGCAGCCGCGGU